UCUGUACUAAUUAUAAACCCAUCUGUGUAUCUUACCUGUUGCUUCCGUGGGGUGCGGUGGCUCCGGCCGCCGCUUGACCCACGGGAGGUCUACACCAAACCAUUGCAUUGCCAUGAUCUCAGUCUGAAAUGAAAACAACAAAAGUUAAAACUUUCAACAACGGAUCUCUUGGUUCUCGCAUCGAUGAAGAACGCAGCGAAAUGCGAUAAGUAGUGUGAAUUGCAGAAUUCAGUGAAUCAUCGAAUCUUUGAACGCACAUUGCGCCUCCUGGUAUUCCGGGAGGCAUGCCUGUUCGAGCGUCAUUAAAGACCACUCAAGCGAUUUUGCUUGGUAUUGGAAGAAGAGUGCCUCUGGCCCUCCCUUCCGAAAUCCAAUGGCGGAAAGUCUCACGUGCCCCGGCGUAGUAAGUUUAUCUUUCGCUUGGACCCUGAGGCGUUCUCGCCCUCAAAUCCCCAAUACUAUAGGUUGACCUCGGAUC
RNAcentral lists this ribosomal RNA (478 nucleotides) under ascomycete sp. olrim124. Its description in RNAcentral is "eukaryotic LSU rRNA". The stretch from base 149 to 302 matches the Rfam family "5.8S ribosomal RNA". Lineage: Eukaryota; Fungi; Ascomycota. The record is from RNAcentral.